This 428-nucleotide long non-coding RNA is filed under the name Brassica napus (rape). Its description in RNAcentral is "long non-coding RNA (BNAP_LNC021261)". Lineage: Eukaryota; Viridiplantae; Streptophyta; Magnoliopsida; Brassicales; Brassicaceae. The record is from RNAcentral.
AUUUUUCGAAAUAACUUAAAUAAAUAAUAAGUCUGAAAUCUCCAUUUAUUACUUAUCAAAAGACAACUCCAAAGUCGUAAAUCCAAUAAAUGACCAUAAAUCCAAAUAAUAUAAUAAAUCCCGAAAAUAUCGAUAAAAUCAUCAAAACCGCAAGUCUGAAAAUGAAAGCAAUAAACUCCCAAAGCACCAAUCCGAUAGCAAUCACUCCUGCUCGUCAGUCUCACCUGAAAGGGGGAAAGAAGGAGGGAUGAGCAACAUGGGAGUCACCCAGUGAAGUAUGGAAUGCUAAACCGCAAACCACUGACUCGGUACAUAGCACUACGACUAUGUAGGCAUUGCUCUAGCAUGAGCAAACAAGAUGCCUAACGCAUCACACAAAACAAACAAUGCGCUGAUGGUACAUAGCUAGUCCACAUACCCCGCAUUCU